UGUAAGCGUAUACCAAAGUUGUUGCAGUUAAAACGCUCGUAGUCGGAAUUUGGCAGUUCCGGAUGUGUGCACGUCGUGUGCGCACUUCGCGGGGAUUGCUUUUGUGGUCUUGCGUAGGAUGAGGCACUUUUAUUAGUGAACGUCCUCACGCAACCACUUUUUACUGUGAGAAAAUCAGAGUGCUCAAAGCAGGCAUUUGCCGUGAAUGUAAUAGCAUGGAAUAAUAGAAUAGGACUUGGUUCUAUUUUGUUGGUUUGUUGGGACUGAGUAAUGAUUAAGAGGGACAGUUGGGGGCAUUUGUAUUUCGGUGCUAGAGGUGAAAUUCUUAGAUUACCGAAAGACAAACUGCAGCGAAAGCGUCUGCCAAGGAUGUUUUCAUUGA
RNAcentral lists this ribosomal RNA (382 nucleotides) under uncultured eukaryote. Its description in RNAcentral is "partial 18S ribosomal RNA". It matches the Rfam family "Eukaryotic small subunit ribosomal RNA", at positions 592 to 976 of the family's 1831-position model. The record is from RNAcentral.